RNAcentral lists this ribosomal RNA (833 nucleotides) under Serratia marcescens. RNAcentral describes it as "bacterial SSU rRNA". It matches the Rfam family "Bacterial small subunit ribosomal RNA", at positions 59 to 880 of the family's 1533-position model. Lineage: Bacteria; Pseudomonadati; Pseudomonadota; Gammaproteobacteria; Enterobacterales; Yersiniaceae. The record is from RNAcentral.
AAGUCGAGCGGUAGCACAAGAGAGCUUGCUCUCUGGGUGACGAGCGGCGGACGGGUGAGUAAUGUCUGGGAAACUGCCUGAUGGAGGGGGAUAACUACUGGAAACGGUAGCUAAUACCGCAUAACGUCGCAAGACCAAAGAGGGGGACCUUCGGGCCUCUUGCCAUCAGAUGUGCCCAGAUGGGAUUAGCUAGUAGGUGGGGUAAUGGCUCACCUAGGCGACGAUCCCUAGCUGGUCUGAGAGGAUGACCAGCCACACUGGAACUGAGACACGGUCCAGACUCCUACGGGAGGCAGCAGUGGGGAAUAUUGCACAAUGGGCGCAAGCCUGAUGCAGCCAUGCCGCGUGUGUGAAGAAGGCCUUCGGGUUGUAAAGCACUUUCAGCGAGGAGGAAGGUGGUGAGCUUAAUACGCUCAUCAAUUGACGUUACUCGCAGAAGAAGCACCGGCUAACUCCGUGCCAGCAGCCGCGGUAAUACGGAGGGUGCAAGCGUUAAUCGGAAUUACUGGGCGUAAAGCGCACGCAGGCGGUUUGUUAAGUCAGAUGUGAAAUCCCCGGGCUCAACCUGGGAACUGCAUUUGAAACUGGCAAGCUAGAGUCUCGUAGAGGGGGGUAGAAUUCCAGGUGUAGCGGUGAAAUGCGUAGAGAUCUGGAGGAAUACCGGUGGCGAAGGCGGCCCCCUGGACGAAGACUGACGCUCAGGUGCGAAAGCGUGGGGGAGCAAACAGGAUUAGAUACCCUGGUAGUCCACGCUGUAAACGAUGUCGAUUUGGAGGUUGUGCCCUUGAGGCGUGGCUUCCGGAGCUAACGCGUUAAAUCGACCGCCUGGGGAG